AGCACCAAUGAUCUUAUCCUCUCAACUCUCUCUCUCUCUCUCAAAAGUCUCCCCUAUCUUCGACCAAAAAAAAAGUCUUUUCUCUCUCUCUCUUUCUCUCUCUACCUUGAUAUUCAUGUUUUUCUAUUAUGAUAUCUGAUGCAAUUGUGUUUUUCUUUGCAGAAAGGGAUUGAAGAGAUUAGAUCUUAAGUUAAGGAGAUCUGGAGGCUGCCUCAAUCACUCUGUGCCUCAAUCACUCUGUGAUUGAAAGAACCUACAGCUUGUUCAUCUUGCUUCAACCCACCAUGGAUAAGAUUGAGCAACAACACAAUCAUAUCCCCAAUACCACAGCUAGACUUUUCCACUGACUGCCGUUGCCUGAAAUUAUUUAUGAUCUAUGAGCUCGUGCCAAAUCUGAGCCUCCUAGAGGCUUUACUGGACUGGAAAGAAGAUCGUGACCUGCCGGUAAUUAAUAGCGGUGUGAAGCCCAACAAUUUGUGGGACUCGGAUUUCAACACAAAGUUUGAGGAUUUUAGGCUGGCAGAGAUUGGAAACAGAGGGUGAGUUGGAUCGGGGAUAUCAAGUGGUGGUGGAAGAAGAUGAUGAGGGAGAGAUUGAGAAAGAAGAGUCUUUUGGCAGAUGUGGGCAUUUGGGAAGAGGAGAGCCGGAGUAUGAGUGUGGUGACUAGUGAGUGGUGGAAUGUAAAGGCCGGUCGCCGGAUUAUUGUACUGUUCCGAUUUCAGAUUAUGAAAUCCGAUCGUUGGCUGGACUGGACAGUGGAUACUUGACCAUCAAUAAAAUCUAUUAAAAU
Molecule: RNA transcript, 790 nt
Organism: Fragaria vesca subsp. vesca
Lineage: Eukaryota; Viridiplantae; Streptophyta; Magnoliopsida; Rosales; Rosaceae
Exons: 2
Source: RefSeq, a predicted model, not a curated record